Molecule: ribosomal RNA, 225 nt
Filed under: uncultured bacterium
Lineage: Bacteria
Description: partial 16S ribosomal RNA
Rfam family: Bacterial small subunit ribosomal RNA
Source: RNAcentral
AGUAACGCGUGAGUAACCUGCCUCUAAGAGGGGAAUAACAUUCUGAAAAGAAUGCUAAUACCGCAUAACAUAUAUUUAUCGCAUGGUAGAUAUAUCAAAGAUUUAUCGCUUAGAGAUGGACUCGCGUCCGAUUAGUUAGUUGGUGAGGUAACGGCUCACCAAGACUGCGAUCGGUAGCCGGACUGAGAGGUUGAACGGCCACAUUGGGACUGAGACACGGUCCAA